Molecule: unclassified non-coding RNA, 378 nt
Filed under: uncultured Actinomycetes bacterium
Lineage: Bacteria; Bacillati; Actinomycetota; Actinomycetes
Description: uncultured actinobacterium contains 16S-23S intergenic spacer region
Source: RNAcentral
UCCGGUUUGUCACCGGCAGUCUCCUUAGAGUUCCCGACAUUACUCGCUGGCAACUAAGGACAAGGGUUGCGCUCGUUGCGGGACUUAACCCAACAUCUCACGACACGAGCUGACGACAACCAUGCACCACCUGUAAACCGACCGCAAGCGGGGCACCUGUUUCCAGGUAUUUCCGGUUCAUGUCAAGCCUUGGUAAGGUUCUUCGCGUUGCAUCGAAUUAAACAACAUGCUCCGCUGCUUGUGCGGGCCCCCGUCAAUUCCUUUGAGUUUUAGCCCUGCGGCCGUACUCCCCAGGCGGGGUGCUUAAUGCGUUAGCUUCGGCACGGAGGGAGUCGACACCCCCCACACCUAGCACCCAUCGUUUACGGCGUGGACUAC